Molecule: transfer RNA, 76 nt
Filed under: Firmicutes bacterium ADurb.Bin099
Lineage: Bacteria; Bacillati; Bacillota
Also listed under: 2 other names
Description: tRNA-Trp
Rfam family: tRNA
About the family: Transfer RNA (tRNA) molecules are approximately 80 nucleotides in length. Their secondary structure includes four short double-helical elements and three loops (D, anti-codon, and T loops).
Source: RNAcentral
AGGGAAGUAGUUCAAUCGGUAGAGCGGCGGUCUCCAAAACCGUAAGUUGCGGGUUCAAAUCCUGUCUUCCCUGCCA